This 275-nucleotide ribosomal RNA is filed under the name uncultured bacterium. RNAcentral's name for it is "partial 16S ribosomal RNA". It matches the Rfam family "Bacterial small subunit ribosomal RNA", at positions 338 to 605 of the family's 1533-position model. The record is from RNAcentral.
CCUACGGGGGGCUGCAGUGGGGAAUAUUGGACAAUGGGGGCAACCCUGAUCCAGCAAUGCCGCGUGUGUGAAGAAGGCCUGCGGGUUGUAAAGCACUUUUGUCCGGGAAGAAAGGACCUGACCUAAUACGUUGGGGGGAUGACGGUACCGGAAGAAUAAGCACCGGCUAACUUCGUGCCAGCAGCCGCGGUAAUACGAAGGGUGCAAGCGUUAAUCGGAAUUACUGGGCGUAAAGGGUGCGUAGACGGCCUGUUAAGUCGACUGUGAAAGUCCUG